Molecule: ribosomal RNA, 253 nt
Filed under: uncultured bacterium
Lineage: Bacteria
Description: partial 16S ribosomal RNA
Rfam family: Bacterial small subunit ribosomal RNA
Source: RNAcentral
UACGUAGGGGGCUAGCGUUGUCCGGAAUCAUUGGGCGUAAAGCGCGUGUAGGCGGCCCGGUAAGUCCGCUGUGAAAGUCGGGGGCUCAACCCUCGGAUGCCGGUGGAUACUGUCGGGCUUGAGUACGGAAGAGGCGAGUGGAAUUCCUGGUGUAGCGGUGAAAUGCGCAGAUAUCAGGAGGAACACCAAUUGCGAAGGCAGCUCGCUGGGACGUUACUGACGCUAAGGCGCGAAAGCGUGGGGAGCGAACAGG